GUCCAACUCCUUCAAUUCUCUUCUUUUUAGUUUUCUUCUUUUCCUCGUGGACCAUCUCCCUCACUCAUCCCCUAACCUAAUCUCCCUCACUCAUCGCGUAACCUAAUUGUUGUGGGGUGCUACCGCCCUUGCAAAUAUCAUUGAGAGACCAUCUCCCUCACUCAACCCCUAACCUAAUCGUUGUGGACUGCUACCUCCCCUGCAAACGGUGACACCAAUUAGAGACCAUCUUCCUCAAUCCCUAACCUAAUCGUUGUGGAGUGCUACCUCCCCUGCAAACAUCGGUGGCACCAAUUAGAUUUAGAGACCAUCUCCCUCACUCAACCCCUAACCUAAUCAUUGUGGAGUGCUACCUCCCCUACAAACAUCGUCGGCACCAAUUAGAAGACGAACAUAUAUGCAGAUAUGGACGAGGACGCACCUCCUCAAAAAAGACUCAAAGCACCAGAAGUUGCAAUUAAGGUUCAAAUGCAGGGGAUUGCAGUCGUUCGUGCUGUGAAUUUGACCACAUUGGAUGGGUAUGAUCAACUUGUAGAUGAAUUGGAGAAGAUGUUUGACAUAAAGGGACAACUUCAAAACAAGAAUAAGUGGGUAGUUCUCUACGCUGAUGAUGAUGGAGAUACGAUUCUUGUUGGUGAUGAGCCAUGGCCUGAAUUCUGUCAAGUGGUGAGAAGAAUCUUAAUUUGUUCUAGUCAGGCUGUGCACUAUUGAGCUUAAGGAGCAAACUGUGGUUAUCUUUUCUUUAGAAGAGUAUGUAAUAAGCUCAAACAACACAACUAUAAGACUUGAAACUUCUACAUUAUUAUUGUCCUUUCUAUGUUUUUGUUAGUUCUUAUUGUUGUUGCUUUUAUUUCUUAUUUGAGUUGAGGUAAUAAGGAUGUUAGUUUAUUUUCGACUAGGCAAGUUUCAUGUUUGAUGUGAAACAUUGGUUAAUUGUAGCUUAAUUUAUAUUCUCUAGACAUUAAUUGGGUUCGAAACAUCAAAUUGAAUGUUUUAAUAAA
Molecule: long non-coding RNA, 1001 nt
Organism: Glycine soja
Lineage: Eukaryota; Viridiplantae; Streptophyta; Magnoliopsida; Fabales; Fabaceae
Exons: 7
Source: RefSeq, a predicted model, not a curated record